GGUUGUGUAGUGUAGUGGUUAUCACUCUGGAUUUUGAUUGCUAUCAAGCCUUCCAGUAACCCCGGUUCGAACCCGGGCACGACCU
This 85-nucleotide transfer RNA is filed under the name Chaetomium globosum CBS 148.51. It matches the Rfam family "tRNA". From Rfam's summary of the family: Transfer RNA (tRNA) molecules are approximately 80 nucleotides in length. Lineage: Eukaryota; Fungi; Ascomycota; Sordariomycetes; Sordariales; Chaetomiaceae. RNAcentral also lists the same sequence under 1 other name. The record is from Rfam by way of RNAcentral.